Molecule: ribosomal RNA, 504 nt
Filed under: uncultured bacterium
Lineage: Bacteria
Description: partial 16S ribosomal RNA
Rfam family: Bacterial small subunit ribosomal RNA
Source: RNAcentral
GACGAACGCUGGCGGCGUGCCUAAUACAUGCAAGUAGAACGCACAGUUUAUACCGUAGCUUGCUACACCAUAGACUGUGAGUUGCGAACGGGUGAGUAACGCGUAGGUAACCUGCCUGGUAGCGGGGGAUAACUAUUGGAAACGAUAGCUAAUACCGCAUAAUAUUGAUUAUUGCAUGAUAAUUGAUUGAAAGAUGCUAUUGCAUCACUACCAGAUGGACCUGCGUUGUAUUAGCUAGUAGGUGAGGUAACGGCUCACCUAGGCGACGAUACAUAGCCGACCUGAGAGGGUGAUCGGCCACACUGGGACUGAGACAGGCCCAGACUCCUACGGGAGGCAGCAGUAGGGAAUCUUCGGCAAUGGACGAAAGUCUGACCGAGCGACGCCGCGUGAGUGAAGAAGGUUUUCGGAUCGUAAAGCUCUGUUGUAAGAGAAGAACGGGUGUGAGAGUGGAAAGUUCACACUGUGACGGUAUCUUACCAGAAAGGGACGGCUAACUACGUG